RNAcentral lists this ribosomal RNA (253 nucleotides) under uncultured bacterium. Its description in RNAcentral is "partial 16S ribosomal RNA". It matches the Rfam family "Bacterial small subunit ribosomal RNA", at positions 524 to 776 of the family's 1533-position model. The record is from RNAcentral.
UACGUAUGGUGCAAGCGUUAUCCGGAUUUACUGGGUGUAAAGGGAGCGCAGGCGGCGCGUUAAGCCUGGUGUGAAAGCCCGCGGCCCAACCGCGGGACUGCAUUGGGAACUGGCGCGCUGGAGUGCCGGAGGGGUAGGCGGAAUUCCUAGUGUAGCGGUGAAAUGCGUAGAUAUUAGGAGGAACACCAGUGGCGAAGGCGGCCUACUGGACGGUGACUGACGCUGAGGCACGAAAGCGUGGGUAUCGAACAGG